Molecule: long non-coding RNA, 1088 nt
Organism: Phyllopteryx taeniolatus (common seadragon)
Lineage: Eukaryota; Metazoa; Chordata; Actinopteri; Syngnathiformes; Syngnathidae
Exons: 7
Source: RefSeq, a predicted model, not a curated record
UCUUUUUUGCCCGUCGGUGUGGGUCCGUACGGGACUCCUUCUGGGUCCGGACCCAGACCGCAGUCCACCAGUGACUGACCUCUGAAAUAGAGCAUCAGAAAGUUCUGUAGAAGACAUACCACCACCUCUUUUGAAACAUUUGGCAUCAGAAGCGGGAUCCUGUAAAUGAUUUGACUCCCUCUGAGUUAAGUCAGAUUGCCAAUCCUUGUAAAAUAAUUUUUACAAAAAAAAGUCACUAUACAGACUGCUCGACAAUCAAUAUCUGUUUGUGGUGUUGAUUUUGAGCAAAAACACAGACAGAGAAGGAAACCAAAGAGAAAAUGUUGCAUUUCACACCUCCACUGGGCCGUACUGCUGACCAAGAUUAUGGUGUUGGCGGUUUGUGGCGUUUCUUCUCUCUCUUCCAGAUACUUCACCCACCGCUGAGCUGGAAACCAUGUCGUGGUUUGUGACGGAACGCCAGUGGACCUGAGAGAUGAUCAGCAGUGCUCGAGUCGCUUUUACUCCAGCUGCGACAGUCGCCUCUGCACCUUGACCAUCUCAAAUGCGAGCCAGAAUGACUCGGCAGAGUAUGUGUUCAUGAUCAACGUGCCGAUCAACCUUUGGAUGAGAAGGAGGUUCUUCCGUGGCUCACGUGGCGUCAGCUUGUUUGUGUCAGGUAACCUCCAAGACGCUCCGAGGCUUUUGCGGACAUCUGUGGUUCUGGGGGGGCCGCUGGUUGACUCUGACCUGUCGCGGCGAUGCCAACCCAGCUGCUAACUGGCGUCGGGUCAGAACUUCAGCGUUCGGCCGGAGGACGUCGCCAAUUAUGUCUGCGCGGCCAGAAACAGCCGAGGGCUCCGCCGGAUCACCGUGUACAUGGACGCAACAGUAAGAAACAACAUGAUCGGGCUGAGCGCGACGCUUGUGCUCCUGAUCCUGGUGGUGCUCCUGGCUCUCUGCAUGAGGAAGAUGACGUCUCCCUCCUCGUGAACGCAACCAAACGAGCAGCGACAACCCGAAGAGCAGCGCCACCAUGGGGACUAUGAGAACAUCUACGCGGCAGUGUUGACACACAAACAUCAACAGGAGGACACGCUGUGAAGGAC